UACGUAGGUGGCAAGCGUUGUCCGGAAUCACUGGGCGUAAAGGGCGCGUAGGCGGUCAUUUAAGUCGGGUGUGUAAUCUUUGGGCUCAACCUGAAGUUUGCAUUCGAUACUGGGUGACUUGAGUGCAGGAGAGGACAGUGGAAUUCCUAGUGUAGCGGUGAAAUGCGUAGAUAUUAGGAGGAACACCAGUGGCGAAGGCGGCUGUCUGGACUGUAACUGACGCUGAGGCGCGAAAGCGUGGGGAG
RNAcentral lists this ribosomal RNA (245 nucleotides) under uncultured Eubacteriales bacterium. RNAcentral describes it as "uncultured Clostridiales bacterium partial 16S ribosomal RNA". It matches the Rfam family "Bacterial small subunit ribosomal RNA", at positions 524 to 768 of the family's 1533-position model. Lineage: Bacteria; Bacillati; Bacillota; Clostridia; Eubacteriales. The record is from RNAcentral.